UUAGGGGGUACAAGACACUCAAUGGGUGCGAGACACUCAGGGGGCACCUGGCACUUAGGGGGCACCUGGCACUUAGGGGCGCCUGGCACUCAGGGGGCACCAAGCACUCAGGGGGUGCCGGACACUUAGAUGGCGCCGGGCACUCAGGGGGUGCUCACCUUUCAGGCUAAAUCUCUGAGCUGAUCAGGAAGAUCUAAAGAAAAACGAUGACUCGGUUUGAAGAAGGACUUUAUUUGAAAUGAAGAUCAACAUUUUUCAUAUAAACCUGAACAAUCUUGAAGCCAAUUAUCUCGAUGCAUAGUUUUGUUUUUGUGUCUUUGUGCAGAAAUUUUAAGCUUCAGGAGGGGGGAGGGGGUAAUAAACACUAAAGCACUGAA
Molecule: long non-coding RNA, 377 nt
Organism: Oryzias melastigma (Indian medaka)
Lineage: Eukaryota; Metazoa; Chordata; Actinopteri; Beloniformes; Adrianichthyidae
Exons: 2
Source: RefSeq, a predicted model, not a curated record